GACGAACGCUGGCGGCGUGCUUAACACAUGCCAGUCGAACGGAAAGGCCCUGCUUUUGUGGGGUGCUCGAGUGGCGAACGGGUGAGUAACACGUGAGUAACCUGCCCUUGACUUUGGGAUAACUUCAGGAAACUGGGGCUAAUACCGGAUAGGAGCUCCUGCUGCAUGGUGGGGGUUGGAAAGUUUCGGCGGUUGGGGAUGGACUCGCGGCUUAUCAGCUUGUUGGUGGGGUAGUGGCUUACCAAGGCUUUGACGGGUAGCCGGUCUGAGAGGGUGACCGGCCACAUUGGGACUGAGAUACGGCCCAGACUCCUACGGGAGGCAGCAGUGGGGAAUAUUGCACAAUGGGCGGAAGCCUGAUGCAGCAACGCCGCGUGCGGGAUGACGGCCUUCGGGUUGUAAACCGCUUUCGCAUGUGACGAAGCGUGAGUGACGGUAAUGGGUAAAGAAGCACCGGCUAACUACGUG
Molecule: ribosomal RNA, 468 nt
Filed under: uncultured bacterium
Lineage: Bacteria
Description: partial 16S ribosomal RNA
Rfam family: Bacterial small subunit ribosomal RNA
Source: RNAcentral